This 717-nucleotide ribosomal RNA is filed under the name Vreelandella aquamarina. RNAcentral's name for it is "bacterial SSU rRNA". It matches the Rfam family "Bacterial small subunit ribosomal RNA", at positions 73 to 789 of the family's 1533-position model. The record is from RNAcentral. Lineage: Bacteria; Pseudomonadati; Pseudomonadota; Gammaproteobacteria; Oceanospirillales; Halomonadaceae.
UCCAGCUCUGCUGGAUGCUGACGAGCGGCGGACGGGUGAGUAAUGCAUAGGAAUCUGCCCGAUAGUGGGGGAUAACCUGGGGAAACCCAGGCUAAUACCGCAUACGUCCUACGGGAGAAAGGGGGCUCCGGCUCCCGCUAUGGGAUGAGCCUAUGUCGGAUUAGCUAGUUGGUGAGGUAACGGCUCACCAAGGCCACGAUCCGUAGCUGGUCUGAGAGGAUGAUCAGCCACAUCGGGACUGAGACACGGCCCGAACUCCUACGGGAGGCAGCAGUGGGGAAUAUUGGACAAUGGGGGCAACCCUGAUCCAGCCAUGCCGCGUGUGUGAAGAAGGCCCUCGGGUUGUAAAGCACUUUCAGCGAGGAAGAACGCCUAGCGGUUAAUACCCGCUAGGAAAGACAUCACUCGCAGAAGAAGCACCGGCUAACUCCGUGCCAGCAGCCGCGGUAAUACGGAGGGUGCAAGCGUUAAUCGGAAUUACUGGGCGUAAAGCGCGCGUAGGUGGCUUGAUAAGCCGGUUGUGAAAGCCCCGGGCUCAACCUGGGAACGGCAUCCGGAACUGUCAAGCUAGAGUGCAGGAGAGGAAGGUAGAAUUCCCGGUGUAGCGGUGAAAUGCGUAGAGAUCGGGAGGAAUACCAGGUGGCGAAGGCGGCCUUCUGGACUGACACUGACACUGAGGUGCGAAAGCGUGGGUAGCAAACAGGAUUAGAUACCCUG